This 496-nucleotide ribosomal RNA is filed under the name uncultured bacterium. RNAcentral describes it as "bacterial SSU rRNA". It matches the Rfam family "Bacterial small subunit ribosomal RNA", at positions 28 to 509 of the family's 1533-position model. The record is from RNAcentral.
GAUGAACGCUAGCGGCAGGCCUAACACAUGCAAGUCGAGGGGCAUCGCGGUGCAGCAAUGCACUGGCGGCGACCGGCGUACGGGUGCGUAACGCGUAUGCAACCUGCCCCGCACCGGGGGAUAGCCCGCCGAAAGGCGGAUUAAUACCCCAUGGCCCCGGGGGCCCGCAUGGGCAUCCGGGUAAAGCCUUGGCGGUGCGGGAUGGGCAUGCGUGCCAUUAGCUGGCUGGUGGGGUAACGGCCCACCAGGGCAACGAUGGCUAGGGGGUCUGAGAGGAUGGUCCCCCACACUGGUACUGAGACACGGACCAGACUCCUACGGGAGGCAGCAGUGAGGAAUAUUGGUCAAUGGGCGGAAGCCUGAACCAGCCAUGCCGCGUGAGGGAUGACGGCCUUGGUUGUAAGCUCUGUCAGAUGGGAAGAAAUAGGAGUGGGGGCGUAAUAUCGCCCACUCCUUCGACGGUACCAUCAGAGGAAGCACCGGCUAACUCCGUGCC